UUAACAUUCAGUUUGCUCCAAACUGUUAUUUUAUUAAUAUUGCUAUGGUCACUGUAGUUAGACACCUUAUGCUAGACAUUCAGUUUUAAUCCAAACUGGUUUUCUGGAUAUUGCAAUGGUCACUUUAAUUAAACCUUAUUACUUGACUUUCAGUUUGCUCCAACUGUUUUUAUUAAUAUUGCUAUGGUCACUUUAGUUAGAUUUUUAAUGCUAGACAUUCAG
Non-coding RNA from Pelobates cultripes (western spadefoot toad), 222 nucleotides. The record is from the annotation of a GenBank genome assembly. Lineage: Eukaryota; Metazoa; Chordata; Amphibia; Anura; Pelobatidae.